CUAUCGGGGUUUGAUUAGCCAUGCGAGUCGAGAGGGUUUUGGCCCUCGGCGAACUGCUCAGUAACACGUGGAUAAUCUACCCUGGGGAGGAGGAUACUCCCGGGAAACUGGGGUUAAUACUCCAUAGCAAUGAUGCACUGGAAUGUCAUCGUUGCGAAAGAUCCGUCGCCCCAGGAUGAGUCUGCGUCCGAUUAGGUAGUUGUUGGGGUUACUGCCCAACAAGCCUGUAAUCGGUACGGGUUGUGGGAGCAAGAGCCCGGAGAUGGAUUCUGAGACACGAAUCCAGGCCCUACGGGGCGCAGCAGGCGCGAAAACUUUACAAUGCAGGAAACUGUGAUAAGGGAACCUCGAGUGCCCGUAAACACGGGCUGUCCAGGUGUCUAAAAAGCAUCUGAAGAAAGGGCCGGGCAAGACCGGUGCCAGCCGCCGCGGUAAUACCGGCGGCUCGAGUGGUGGCCGCUAUUAUUGGGCUUAAAGCGUCCGUAGCUGGAUUGUUAAGUCUCUUGGGAAAUCCGACGGCUCAACCGUCGAGCGUCUAAGGGAUACUGGCAAUCUUGGGAUAGGAAGAGGUGAGAGGUACUCCGGGGGUAGAAGUGAAAUUCUGUAAUCCUCGGGGGACCACCUGUGGCGAAGGCGUCUCACUAGGACUACUCCGACAGUGAGGGACGAAAGCUGGGGG
RNAcentral lists this ribosomal RNA (679 nucleotides) under uncultured archaeon. RNAcentral's name for it is "bacterial SSU rRNA". It matches the Rfam family "Archaeal small subunit ribosomal RNA", at positions 30 to 717 of the family's 1478-position model. The record is from RNAcentral.